This 103-nucleotide non-coding RNA is filed under the name Paenibacillus sabinae. RNAcentral's name for it is "TPP sequence". It matches the Rfam family "TPP riboswitch aptamer (THI element)". Rfam says of the family: Vitamin B(1) in its active form thiamin pyrophosphate (TPP) is an essential coenzyme that is synthesised by coupling of pyrimidine and thiazole moieties in bacteria. The previously detected thiamin-regulatory element, thi box was extended, resulting in a new, highly conserved RNA secondary structure, the THI element, which is widely distributed in eubacteria and also occurs in some archaea. Lineage: Bacteria; Bacillati; Bacillota; Bacilli; Caryophanales; Paenibacillaceae. The record is from RNAcentral.
GAUUGACACUAGGGGUGCCGCAUGGCUGAGACGAACGUGAUUGUUCGGACCCUUUGAACCUGAUCUGGAUUGUACCAGCGUAGGGAAGUGGAGAGUGAAUAGC